RNAcentral lists this long non-coding RNA (203 nucleotides) under Mytilus galloprovincialis (Mediterranean mussel). The record is from RNAcentral. Lineage: Eukaryota; Metazoa; Mollusca; Bivalvia; Mytilida; Mytilidae.
AAAAAUAGCGUUGUUUUCUUUUGGGGCGAUAAAAAGAUCGAGGGACUUAGAAUUUUUUAUUUUCUUUCAGAAAAAACGGUCGGUAGGUAUACAAAUUAUUUUUUUUCCCACAUCAGUUUUAAAAACUUUUGAGUCGGGGGUCUGAAGGACGGUCGGUCAGGUGACCGGAAACACAACAUUUUUUUUUUUUUAGGCCUAAACAA